CAGUAGCCGCGGGAAUACGUAGGGUGCAAGCGUUAAUCGGAAUUACUGGGCGUAAAGCGUGCGCAGGCGGUCCGCUAAGACAGAUGUGAAGUCCCCGGGCUUAACCUGGGAACUGCAUUUGUGACUGGCGGGCUAGAGUAUGGCAGAGGGGGGUAGAAUUCCACGUGUAGCAGUGAAAUGCGUAGAGAUGUGGAGGAAUACCGAUGGCGAAGGCAGCCCCUGGGCCAAUACUGACGCUCGUGCACGAAAGCGUGGGGAGCAAACAGGAUUAGAUACCCCGGUAGUCCCUGUCUCUUAUACA
RNAcentral lists this ribosomal RNA (301 nucleotides) under uncultured bacterium. RNAcentral's name for it is "partial 16S ribosomal RNA". It matches the Rfam family "Bacterial small subunit ribosomal RNA", at positions 509 to 808 of the family's 1533-position model. The record is from RNAcentral.